This 1000-nucleotide ribosomal RNA is filed under the name Lactiplantibacillus plantarum. RNAcentral's name for it is "bacterial SSU rRNA". It matches the Rfam family "Bacterial small subunit ribosomal RNA", at positions 64 to 1041 of the family's 1533-position model. The record is from RNAcentral. Lineage: Bacteria; Bacillati; Bacillota; Bacilli; Lactobacillales; Lactobacillaceae.
GGACGUGCUUGCACUGAAUGAGAUUUUAACACGAAGUGAGUGGCGGACGGGUGAGUAACACGUGGGUAACCUGCCCAGAAGCAGGGGAUAACACCUGGAAACAGAUGCUAAUACCGUAUAACAGAGAAAACCGCCUGGUUUUCUUUUAAAAGAUGGCUCUGCUAUCACUUCUGGAUGGACCCGCGGCGCAUUAGCUAGUUGGUGAGGUAACGGCUCACCAAGGCGAUGAUGCGUAGCCGACCUGAGAGGGUAAUCGGCCACAUUGGGACUGAGACACGGCCCAGACUCCUACGGGAGGCAGCAGUAGGGAAUCUUCCACAAUGGACGCAAGUCUGAUGGAGCAACGCCGCGUGAGUGAAGAAGGGUUUCGGCUCGUAAAGCUCUGUUGUUAAAGAAGAACGUGGGUGAGAGUAACUGUUCACCCAGUGACGGUAUUUAACCAGAAAGCCACGGCUAACUACGUGCCAGCAGCCGCGGUAAUACGUAGGUGGCAAGCGUUAUCCGGAUUUAUUGGGCGUAAAGCGAGCGCAGGCGGUCUUUUAAGUCUAAUGUGAAAGCCUUCGGCUCAACCGAAGAAGUGCAUUGGAAACUGGGAGACUUGAGUGCAGAAGAGGACAGUGGAACUCCAUGUGUAGCGGUGAAAUGCGUAGAUAUAUGGAAGAACACCAGUGGCGAAGGCGGCUGUCUGGUCUGUAACUGACGCUGAGGCUCGAAAGCAUGGGUAGCGAACAGGAUUAGAUACCCUGGUAGUCCAUGCCGUAAACGAUGAUUACUAAGUGUUGGAGGGUUUCCGCCCUUCAGUGCUGCAGCUAACGCAUUAAGUAAUCCGCCUGGGGAGUACGACCGCAAGGUUGAAACUCAAAAGAAUUGACGGGGGCCCGCACAAGCGGUGGAGCAUGUGGUUUAAUUCGAAGCUACGCGAAGAACCUUACCAGGUCUUGACAUCUUCUGCCAACCUAAGAGAUUAGGCGUUCCCUUCGGGGGACAGAAUGACAGGUGG